AUUUUAGCUAAGUCAUUUACAUUCCAGACUUUGAAAUCUCAAUCAUAAAUCAAAAUGAGAAGGAAAUCAGACAAUACAUGCAUGUAUAAGCACUUUAGAAAUUUUAGAUAAGAAAAAGGAUUUUUAGCUUUGAUAUCACAAAUUAGUGCUGUCUCAAAAUUGCACAGUAUUUGGUCAUUCUUGACCAACUUAUUCAGAAAGUACCCUUCUUUCCAGUCACUUGUAUCCCAGAAGAUGAAUGCAAUUAUUUUUUAAAUUCAAGAUGCUACCACUAAGCUAUCAAUAUAAUUUAAGUGAGUUGGAGGCUGUGCAUUGUUUUCCAUUUUUCCACACUUAGAGGUCAUUCUGAUUACAUCAUAACAGGGAUUGAGUAACAAUCAUUAUUUCUUUUCGUUUAAAAGCUCAGAUAAUGUGUUCCUAAAAGGGCAGAUAUCUCAGACUGACUUCCAAAAUGAGCGUGAAAUACUAAAACAUAGUUUUGCCAAGUAGAAAGUUGUGGUUUAGCUCUAUUUUUAAUCUAUGUUCAUCUGACAGUCCCAACCAGGUAUGAACUUGUUUGCUUUCUGAGUACUCUGACUCUUAGCUGUGCCACCUGUGCCGUAGGUGCCUCAGGUGAGGCGAAGGAGAUAGAGAAGACGCCUUUGGAGAGUCUUAGAGUACGCACUUCCAUCCUGCAUUUGCUUAUGUACAUUUUGAAAUUUGAGAAAAGAGUGAUGUGCAAAGGAAGUAGAAGAAAAUAAUGAAGAAAAGAAAAAAGCUUCCCUUAAAAACAAGUGAAAGGGGAUGAGAUGACGGAGUGGGAGUCACGUGGGCCGGAUCGCAUGAGGUCAUUUGUGGCUGAGAAAGGUGAGCUCUUCACAUCGGUGUUUGCACAUGCUUUGCUGCUUCUGCCUCGAUGCGAUGCUGGUCGCUCCUAUUGAUGGGCCUUUGGAGAAAUAACAGAAAGUUUGCAAAGGGAUGCGAGGGAAGCGGCCUGCACCACUAACCACACACCGUGUACCAGGUGCUUGUACGUAAUCCUCAUUAAACAUAAGGUCCAUGAUGUGACUGUAUUUCCUGCCCCCUUGAAGUUAGGCAUAGCCAUGUGACUUGAUACAGCCAAUGAAAUGAGAACAGAAAUGAUUCUGUCAUUUCAGGCAGAGGCUUUGAGAGUUCACCAUGUCUGCUUUUCCUGCCUAGGUGAUUGUGGACAUAUGUGUCAGCCUGGAUCUCUGAGUGACCACAAUUAACAGAUACCCCUGCUGACUCAUGAUGGACACCUAGAGUGAAAGAGAAGCAAAUCUUUAUUUUCCUACAGCACUGAGACUUGAGGGUAUUUUGCAGAAAAAUCUAGCUAUUCUAACAAUUAUGCAUAAGUCAUAAAGAUAAAAAUGUAUUUAAAUCAUGGACCUGGAUAAGAUCACCUAUGGCAUGCGUUUUGAUGGUAAUGAGGAGUGGGCUGAGGGCUGAGCCCCAUGGUCCUGUCCCAACACUUAGAGGUGAGGAAGAAAAGGAAGUUCCGGGAAAGGAGAGUGAGAGGAGCAGCUGCUAAAGAAAAUUAAGAGAUGGCGUGGAGAAAAUGCCUUAAGAAGGAGGAAGUAAUCGACUGUGUUAAGUGCUGUGGAUCGGCUAAGAAAGAUAAAAAUUUGGAAAUGAGCAAUGGAUGAACAAUGGAUUUGGCAACAUGGAAGUUACUGGGGACACAGGUUUGAUCCCUCGCUGGGGAACCAAGAUCCCACAUGCUGCGGGGCAACUAAGCCCGCCCGUGUGCCACAACCACUGGUCCGGUGCACCUCAACGAGAGAGAGAAAAACCUGCACACCAUAACUUGAGAGAAGCCCACGUGCCACAAUGAAGAGCCCGUACGUGCCGCAACCGAAGAUCCUGCGUGUCACAACUAAGACCCAACGCAGCCAAAAA
This is a long non-coding RNA of Balaenoptera ricei (Rice's whale), 1899 nucleotides long. RefSeq lists it as uncharacterized. The transcript is spliced from 4 exons. NCBI's taxonomy places the organism in Eukaryota, Metazoa, Chordata, Mammalia, Artiodactyla, Balaenopteridae. The record is from RefSeq and is a predicted model, not a curated record.